RNAcentral lists this unclassified non-coding RNA (312 nucleotides) under plant metagenome. RNAcentral describes it as "partial contains 5.8S ribosomal RNA, internal transcribed spacer 2, and large subunit ribosomal RNA". The stretch from base 1 to 105 matches the Rfam family "5.8S ribosomal RNA", at positions 50 to 154 of the family's 154-position model. The record is from RNAcentral.
GAAAUGCGAUAAGUAAUGUGAAUUGCAGAAUUCCGUGAAUCAUCGAAUCUUUGAACGCACAUUGCGCCCUCUUGCAUUCCGGGGGGCAUGCCUGUCCGAGCGUCAUUACGCACCCUCAAGCCCGGCUUGUGUGAUGGGCCCCGGCGUCUCGUUCGCGAGACGGGCCCGAAAGGCAGCGGCGGCGUCGACCCGAUGAGCCCGAGCGUAUGGGGACUUCUGUCACACGUUCGCGGUGCGGACCGGCGCCUGCUUGACUUUUCUGAUUAUCCAGGUUGACCUCGGAUCAGGUAGGGAUACCCGCCGAACUUAAGC